AUGUUUCCAUUUAGGUUCAAGAGGAAGCAGUUUCCAGUUAGACUUAGCUUUGCUAUGACCAUUAACAAGGCACAAGGACAAACUAUACCAAAUGUUGGUGUAUACCUCCCUGAACCGGUAUUUUCACACGGGCAGCUCUAUGUUGCUCUUUCUAGAGCUACAUCUAGAAGUAAUAUGAAGAUUCUUACUGUACUGGAUAAAAAAAGGAAGGCCAGUCCAACUCCACUGCAAAUAUUACAAAGAACAUAG
RNAcentral lists this ribosomal RNA (249 nucleotides) under Triticum aestivum (bread wheat). Its description in RNAcentral is "partial small subunit ribosomal RNA". Lineage: Eukaryota; Viridiplantae; Streptophyta; Magnoliopsida; Poales; Poaceae. The record is from RNAcentral.